Molecule: transfer RNA, 70 nt
Organism: Loxodonta africana (African savanna elephant)
Lineage: Eukaryota; Metazoa; Chordata; Mammalia; Proboscidea; Elephantidae
Rfam family: tRNA
About the family: Transfer RNA (tRNA) molecules are approximately 80 nucleotides in length.
Source: Rfam
ACCCUGGUAACAUAGUGGUUAAGAGUUUGGCUGCUAACCAAAAGGUUGGCAUUUCGAAUCCACCAGGGGC